Molecule: ribosomal RNA, 1484 nt
Filed under: uncultured Bordetella sp.
Lineage: Bacteria; Pseudomonadati; Pseudomonadota; Betaproteobacteria; Burkholderiales; Alcaligenaceae
Description: partial 16S-23S ribosomal RNA intergenic spacer
Rfam family: Bacterial small subunit ribosomal RNA
Source: RNAcentral
AGAGGUUCGAUCAUAGCUCAGAUGAACUUUGGCAGGAUCUUUUUUACACAUACCCAAGUCGAACAGCCUUUGGACUUCAGUCGGUAGCGAGUAAACGAACAGGUGAGUAAUGUAUCAGAACGUGCCUAGUAGCCAGGGAUAACUACGCGAAAGCGUAGCUAAUACAUACGCCCUUCAGGGGAAAGCGGGGACCUUCGGGCCUCGCACCUCUUCUCGACGGCCGAUAUCGGAUUAGCUAGUUGGUAGAAUCACUGCGCUCACCAAAGCAUGACAAUCCGUAACUCGUUUGAAGGACGACCAGCCACACUGGGACUGAGACACGGCCCAGACUCCUACAGGGAGGCAGCAGUGAGGAAUUUUGGACAAUGGGGAAACCCUGAUCAGCCAUCCCGCGUGUGCGAUGAGAGGCCUUCGGGUUGUAAAGCACUUUUGGCAGGAAAGAAACGGCACGGGAUAAUACCCGUGCAACUGACGUACCUGCAGAAUAAGCACCGGCUAACCGUGCCAGCCGCGCAGUAUCACGGCGAGUGCAAGCGUUAAUCAGAAUUACUGGGCGUAAAGCGAUACUGAGCAGUUCGGAGAAGAAGAAUGUGAAAUCAAGCUUAACUUUUGGGAACUGCAUUUUUAACUACCGAGCUAGAAGUGUCAUCAGAGGAGGUGAUUCCGCGAUGUAACAGUGAAAUGCGUAGAUAUGCGGAGGAGGAACACCGAUGGCGAAGGCGGCCUCACCAGGAUAACACUGACGCUCAUGCGAAAGCGUGGGAGCAAACGGGGAUUAGAUACCCUGGUAGUCCACGCCUAAAACGUGUCCAACUGGCUGUUGAGGCCUUCGGGCCUUGGUAGCGCAGCUAACGCGUGAAGUUGACCGCCUGGGGUACGGUCGCAGUUAAAAACUCAAGGAAAUUGACGGGGACCCGCACAAGCGGUGGAUGAUGUGGAUUAAUUCGAUGCGACGAAAAACCUUACCUACCCUUGACAUGUCUGGAAUCCCGAAGAGAUUUGGGAGUGCUCGCAGAGAACCGGAACACAGGUGCUGCAUGGCUGUCGUCCAGCUCGUGUCGUGAGAUGUUGGGUUAAGUCCCUGGCAGGCGCAACCCUUGUCAUUAGUUGCUACGAAGGGCACUCUAAUGGGGACUGCCAAUGACAAACCGGAGAAGGUGGGGAUGACGUCAAGUCCUCAUGGCCCUUAUGGGUAGGGCUUCACACGUCAUACAAUGGUCGGGACAGAGGGUCGCCAGCCCGCGAGGGGGAGCCAAUCCCAGAAACCCGAUCGUAGUCCGGAUCGCAGUCUGCAACUCGACUGCGUGAAGUCGGAAUCGCUAGUAAUCGCGGAUCAGCAUGUCGCGGUGAAUACGUUCCCGGGUCUUGUACACACUGCCAUCCCCCUUCAUAGAAUGUAGGUUCCCCAAAUGAAUGCUUCUAACCGUAAGGAGGGCGAUUACCACGGUAGGAUUCAUGACUGGGGUGAAGUCGUAACAAGGUAG